This 378-nucleotide unclassified non-coding RNA is filed under the name plant metagenome. Its description in RNAcentral is "partial contains 5.8S ribosomal RNA, internal transcribed spacer 2, and large subunit ribosomal RNA". The stretch from base 1 to 105 matches the Rfam family "5.8S ribosomal RNA", at positions 50 to 154 of the family's 154-position model. The record is from RNAcentral.
GAAAUGCGAUAAGUAAUGUGAAUUGCAGAAUUCGGUGAAUCAUCGAAUCUUUGAACGCAUCUUGCGCUCCUUGGUAUUCCUUGGAGCAUGCCUGUUUGAGUAUCAUGAAAUCUUCAAAGUAAAUCUUUUGUUAACUCAAUUGGUUUCUACUUUGGUAUUGGAGGUCUUUGCAGCUUCACACCUGCUCCUCUUUGUUCAUUAGCUGGAUCUCAGUGUUAUGCUUGGUUCCACUCGGCGUGAUAAGUUAUCUAUCGCUGAGGACACUGUAAAAGGUGGCCAAGGUAAAUGCAGAUGAACCGCUUCUAAUAGUCCAUUGACUUGGACAAUACUUUUAUGAUCUGAUCUCAAAUCAGGUAGGACUACCCGCUGAACUUAAGC